Molecule: ribosomal RNA, 467 nt
Filed under: uncultured bacterium
Lineage: Bacteria
Description: partial 16S ribosomal RNA
Rfam family: Bacterial small subunit ribosomal RNA
Source: RNAcentral
GAUGAACGCUGGCGGCGCGCCUAACACAUGCAAGUCGAACGAUUAAAGCACCUUCGGGUGUGUAUAAAGUGGCGAACGGCUGAGUAACACGUGGGCAACCUGCCCCUCUCAUUGGGAUAGCCACGGGAAACCGUGGAUAAUACCGAAUACUUCGGGACUUCCGCAUGGAAGACUCGAGAAAGCUCCGGCGGAGAGGGAUGGGCCCGCGGCCUGUUAGCUUGUUGGUGGGGUAAUGGCCUACCAAGGCAAUGAUGGGUAGCUGGGUUGAGAGACCGACCAGCCAGAUUGGGACUGAGACACGGCCCAGACUCCUACGGGAGGCAGCAGGGGGGAAUCUUGCACAAUGGGCGAAAGCCUGAUGCAGCGACGCCGCGUGCGGGAUGAAGGCCUUUGGGUUGUAAACCGCUUUCAGCAGGGACGAGGCGAAAGUGACGGUACCUGCAGAAGAAGCCCCGGCUAACUACGUG